This 497-nucleotide ribosomal RNA is filed under the name uncultured bacterium. RNAcentral describes it as "partial 16S ribosomal RNA". It matches the Rfam family "Bacterial small subunit ribosomal RNA", at positions 28 to 507 of the family's 1533-position model. The record is from RNAcentral.
GAUGAACGCUGGCGGCGUGCCUAAUACAUGCAAGUCGAGCGAACAGACGAGGAGCUUGCUCCUCUGACGUUAGCGGCGGACGGGUGAGUAACACGUGGAUAACCUACCUAUAAGACUGGGAUAACUUCGGGAAACCGGAGCUAAUACCGGAUAACAUGUUGAACCGCAUGGUUCAACAGUGAAAGACGGUUUUGCUGUCACUUAUAGAUGGAUCCGCGCCGCAUUAGCUAGUUGGUAAGGUAACGGCUUACCAAGGCAACGAUGCGUAGCCGACCUGAGAGGGUGAUCGGCCACACUGGAACUGAGACACGGUCCAGACUCCUACGGGAGGCAGCAGUAGGGAAUCUUCCGCAAUGGGCGAAAGCCUGACGGAGCAACGCCGCGUGAGUGAAGAAGGUCUUCGGAUCGUAAAACUCUGUUAUUAGGGAAGACCAAAUGUGUAAGUAACUAUGCACGUCUUGACGGUACCUAAUCAGAAAGCCACGGCUAACUACGUG